AACGAACGCUGGCGGCAUGCCUAACACAUGCAAGUCGAACGAGACCUUCGGGUCUAGUGGCGCACGGGUGCGUAACGCGUGGGAACCUGCCCUUAGGUUCGGAAUAACUCCCCGAAAGGGGUGCUAAUACCGGAUAAUGUCUUCGGACCAAAGAUUUAUCGCCUUUGGAUGGGCCCGCGUUGGAUUAGCUAGUUGGUAGGGUAAAAGCCUACCAAGGCGACGAUCCAUAGCUGGUCUGAGAGGAUGAUCAGCCACACUGGGACUGAGACACGGCCCAGACUCCUACGGGAGGCAGCAGUAGGGAAUAUUGGACAAUGGGCGAAAGCCUGAUCCAGCAAUGCCGCGUGAGUGAUGAAGGCCUUAGGGUUGUAAAGCUCUUUUACCCGGGAUGAUAAUGACAGUACCGGGAGAAGAAGCUCCGGCUAACUCCGUG
This 433-nucleotide ribosomal RNA is filed under the name uncultured bacterium. Its description in RNAcentral is "partial 16S ribosomal RNA". It matches the Rfam family "Bacterial small subunit ribosomal RNA", at positions 29 to 507 of the family's 1533-position model. The record is from RNAcentral.